Molecule: long non-coding RNA, 2340 nt
Organism: Mus musculus (house mouse)
Lineage: Eukaryota; Metazoa; Chordata; Mammalia; Rodentia; Muridae
Product: predicted gene, 53782
Exons: 2
Source: RefSeq, a predicted model, not a curated record
CAGCAAAGUCCCAAAGGCAGCAUGUCUGGGUUUAACUGCUCUCUUCUGGGAAUACUAUUCGCGCUUUCUGCUGUAAUUGAAGACCACACUGCCGCUGUGAGUGUAUGUGUCACAUGCACGUUAGCCUUUAGAGCCGGCUAUGGCCUUUGCUUACCGGUAUGGGUGAGGGGUUACCAUUAGAACCCAAUUUGCAUCUGGGGACAUAGCUCAGUAGUGGAGUUCCCGUGGCCUGCAGGAAGCCGUGGAUUCCAUCCCCAGCACCGCAUACACUAGCACUAUAAUCCCAGCACGAAGGAAGUGGAGGCAGGAGGAUCAAAAGCUUAAAAUCAUCCUUGUCCAGGGCACGCUUGAGUUCCUGGUUAACUCUGAGUGGGCCUCAUGUGCUGAGUUCAUACUACAUAACCAUGCAGGAUCCAGAGGGCUAGGAUAGCCUGCCCCUUGCCCCUCAGCAGAAGCCUGCAAGGCAGCCUCCCAGGGCUUGGUGUGCCCUCCCCUCUCCUUCAGCUUCCACAGAUUUUCUUCUCUGGCUUCUACUUCCUCUGGCUUCCUGCUGACGUGUUUGUUUCUGUUUCCAUCAUAUCCGGAUGAGGUGACGGCUACACUGAAAAGUAUAGGUAAGUUUCUUCCUGUUCCAAAACAUCACAGGCUAACAAUAAUUUACCCAGAAUGUACACGAUAUUCGCUAUUACAAAAGCAACCCACGGACUAGUUAAAAUACAAGGGAGAUUAUUCUUAUGCUUUCUGCAAAUUGCCAUUUUACAUAUGGAACUUAAUCAUCAUUAGAUGCUGGAAUCCGCAACUGGCCCUUGAACCAAUUGCACACUGGUACCCCCCGGGAGGGACUAUUGUUCUCCUAUGUAGCACCAAGACUGGAUAAGUUUUGGUAAAAGACUUGCUCAUUUCACCAUCUUAAGACACACUAGAAAAGACACUCAUGGAAAAGCCAUGGAUAGUAGUAGCUCGCACAAGAAUGUCUUGGCCUUAAGUCUCAGUUCUAUCAAUAGUUCUGCAACACAAGACCACUAAAAAUGUCUAAUCCACAUUGCCUUCCUCUGUGGAGGAAUAAGCCGUACCUAGAGCUGUGGAUGGAGACAAGAAAUCGGGUAAAGAAGUCAAUCUCCAUUCCUGACUUACAUGGUAAGUACUGACCAACAUGCUAGAACUUAAAACAAAGAAAACUCCAGCUCGGCAUGCAUUUGUGAAAAUACACACGUCUUGAUACAAACAAAAAUAAUUUUUAUGAGGAAUCAUUUCUUAAAAUAGAAAUAUAUUAUUUAUUCAGUGAGAAACUAAUUUUUUAAAAAUCAUCUGUUCAGAACAAAUUUUCACCUUUCAGGCCAUUUGAUUGAGGCACAUCAUUGAAGCGCAUAUUUUAUUAUUAUUAUUAUCAUCAUCAUUAUUAUUAUCGUCCACAUUUUAAAUAUUAUGUUUCCUUCUUUCACAUAGACUAUUUUAUCCAGUAGAAAUUCCCCGAAGGAGCCACAGCACAUUCAUAACAAAGACAGAGUAGAGCACUGUUGUUCCCCUGCAGCUUUCCGACAUGACAGAUCACCUAAAAUAAAGCUGGCUGUAGCCCGUUACAGACGUUACCUAGUGUCUACACGUUGGCCGUGAUCAUCGACACUUCCUUGAUAUGCAGAGACAAAAGGGAGCCUCUGCAUGCUGAAUGCAGCUAUUUCUUGAAAAGACAUUUGGCCGCCUUUGGACGGUGUGCUGGUUGGUAUCCGGGUGCCUUCUCAGGGUCAAUAGAAGUCAAUCAGAUCCAAGCACGGGAAAUGGAAACCAGUAGCCCCCACUCUCUCCCCAACUCCUGGGGCACGCAGGCAGCUUUCGGAUGUCCAAUCUUGGCUCAAUUCAGAAGGAAAAAAGGGAAUGGUACAUUCCUGGCUGAGUUGGGGUGAUAAUGCAGUUGGUUUGGGGACGCAUCGAUCCAUUCAAGCAUUCAGGGGCUAAUCUUCCCAGUUCCUGGAGGUUUUUCUUUUUUUUUUCUAUACCCUGAAAACUUCCCUUCACAAUCUCUUUCCUCCAAGGGCUUUUGAGCAUAAGAGUUGUGUCCACAGCCUACUAAGUUGCAUAUCCCAGGGUCUGGAGUUGCCAAGAGGAAAAAAAAAUCAUGCCUGGGAAUGUUCCGAUUUCAAAACUCCAGACAAGUCAUCUCAGCAGACACCUCCUAAGUGCCGGAGGCAACGGCUGGAGUCAUGCUUCCAGAUUUCAGUAGGUGCAAAUGAUUUUAGAAGAGCCUACCCAGUGGCCUCUUGUCUAUGCUGUGUUUCUGAAAGGCCCUGUAAAGUAUGCAGACAAAGCUAGACAUGGUGAUUUAAUGGUACAAAAAAAAAAAAA